RNAcentral lists this ribosomal RNA (451 nucleotides) under uncultured bacterium. RNAcentral's name for it is "partial 16S ribosomal RNA". It matches the Rfam family "Bacterial small subunit ribosomal RNA", at positions 354 to 796 of the family's 1533-position model. The record is from RNAcentral.
GUGGGGAAUAUUGGACAAUGGGGGGAACCCUGAUCCAGCCAUGCCGCGUGUGUGAAGAAGGCCUUUUGGUUGUAAAGCACUUUAAGUGGGGAGGAGGCUUACCUGGUUAAUACCUGGGCUAAGUGGACGUUACCCACAGAAUAAGCACCGGCUAACUCUGUGCCAGCAGCCGCGGUAAUACAGAGGGUGCAAGCGUUAAUCGGAUUUACUGGGCGUAAAGCGCGCGUAGGUGGCCAAUUAAGUCAAAUGUGAAAUCCCCGAGCUUAACUUGGGAAUUGCAUUCGAUACUGGUUGGCUAGAGUAUGGGAGAGGAUGGUAGAAUUCCAGGUGUAGCGGUGAAAUGCGUAGAGAUCUGGAGGAAUACCGAUGGCGAAGGCAGCCAUCUGGCCUAAUACUGACACUGAGGUGCGAAAGCAUGGGGAGCAAACAGGAUUAGAUACCCUAGUAGUCC